UCGCCAACAGUGUCAAAAACACCGCCUGGUGUGCGCGACAGUAUCCUCCUUGGACAAGUGUGUUAAUUGUGUGGGACCCGUAUCUUCCUUCAAGUGGCUUGGCUAUCGAUGCACAGAUGAGAUUGUGUUAAGUGACGCUGAAGACAGUGGGAGCGAAUCUGAUAACAGCAACACAGAAGUCACAGCAUCAGAGUUUGGAACUGUGGAGCCUGUGGAUAUUGACUCUACAACCACAGAGCGAGGCCAUGACAUUGGAGGCUUUGGAUCAGUGUCAUUUGUGUCGUCCACAGUAAAUGAGAGUGUACUUCCCUCUGAAGGGAAUUAUGCAGAUAAAGAACAUGGAUCCAGAAGAGUGGUAAAAAAAGUGUGGUCUAAGG
Sander lucioperca (pikeperch) is the source of this 377-nucleotide long non-coding RNA. RefSeq lists it as uncharacterized. The transcript has 4 exons. Lineage: Eukaryota; Metazoa; Chordata; Actinopteri; Perciformes; Percidae. The record is from RefSeq and is a predicted model, not a curated record.